RNAcentral lists this transfer RNA (69 nucleotides) under Urocitellus parryii (Arctic ground squirrel). RNAcentral describes it as "Spermophilus parryii (Arctic ground squirrel) tRNA". It matches the Rfam family "tRNA". From Rfam's summary of the family: Transfer RNA (tRNA) molecules are approximately 80 nucleotides in length. Their secondary structure includes four short double-helical elements and three loops (D, anti-codon, and T loops). Lineage: Eukaryota; Metazoa; Chordata; Mammalia; Rodentia; Sciuridae. The record is from Rfam by way of RNAcentral. RNAcentral also lists the same sequence under 1 other name.
GGGGCUGUAGCUCAGCGGCAGAGCACUUGCCUGGCAUGUGUGAGGCACUGGGUUCGAUCCUCAGCACCA